This 429-nucleotide ribosomal RNA is filed under the name Chloroflexota bacterium. RNAcentral describes it as "Chloroflexi bacterium partial 16S ribosomal RNA". It matches the Rfam family "Bacterial small subunit ribosomal RNA", at positions 355 to 776 of the family's 1533-position model. Lineage: Bacteria; Bacillati; Chloroflexota. The record is from RNAcentral.
UGGGGAAUAUUGCACAAUGGGCGCAAGCCUGAUGCAGCCAUGCCGCGUGUGUGAAGAAGGCCUUCGGGUUGUAAAGCACUUUCAGCGGGGAGGAAGGCGAUAAGGUUAAUAACCUUGUCGAUUGACGUUACCCGCAGAAGAAGCACCGGCUAACUCCGUGCCAGCAGCCGCGGUAAUACGGAGGGUGCAAGCGUUAAUCGGAAUUACUGGGCGUAAAGCGCACGCAGGCGGUUUGUUAAGUCAGAUGUGAAAUCCCCGGGCUCAACCUGGGAAAUGCAUCUGAUACUGGCAAGCUUGAGUGUCGUAGAGGGGGGUAGAAUUCCAGGUGUAGCGGUGAAAUGCGUAGAGAUCUGGAGGAAUACCGGUGGCGAAGGCGGCCCCCUGGACGAAGACUGACGCUCAGGUGCGAAAGCGUGGGGAGCAAACAGG